CCAGAGGCCCUUGUGAAAGUUUUUCCUGACAGCAGUGAGGCUGAAAAUCCCCAGGCCUCCGCCUUCGUGGACUGACGAGGUCACGGCUCCCUUGCGCUGGGAUCCCGCUCUCUGCCGCCCUCUUCUGGGCGUCCGUCGCCGGCGGGCGCAGAGGGGAGCCGGCCUCGCACCGCACCCCACCCUCUUCGCUGGGUUUAGGGGGACGCUUUCCAAGGCCUAGGAUCCGAGUUUAUUGUCUCUUCGAUGCUUAUUGCAGGUCUGACACUCGCUGGAUGCCAGGAAGAGAAAAUGAAUGUAUACAUUGGCUCGCUGCUCGAAGGGGAAACUGAGGCCCAGGUGGGGGAACCCAGUGAGCUGGUUGCUCAUACAGAAUGCAGACUAUCAAGUGCCCAAGGCUUGCCCUCCCGUAGCUUCAUGGAUACGGGGAGGCGGGCGAGUCCCUGCCCUUUCCUACUCUGCAUGAACCUUUCUCAGCUCACUGGCUGGGCUGCCCUACUAAUUGGAUGGAGCAACUGGGCCAGACUGGGGAAGUGGGCGGUGAGGAGCAGAACGCAGCCUGCCUCUUCCGGGCGCCCAGGCCAGUCCUACAGCGACUUUGCUGAGCUGGCGGCCCACGCCCGGGUGCACAAUGAUGCUGACACAGACACACCCGGGAGCCUGAGGAUGAGAGAACUGAGGCUGAGAGAUACUAAGUGAUUUGAUCAAAGUUACAUUCAGGAUUCCACCCAAGCCCAUGACCUGCUGUCCUAGACUGUUGAGUUUGUCUGCUCCUGCCUUAUUGUAAAUUCAUGGAGCUGAGAUUUGUUUUAAUCACCCUUCCAUCCUGGGCACCAGAAACAGUGCUUGGCAUGUGGUUGGGCCACAAGAGGGCACCGCCUCCUUCUUGCGUGCGUCACGCCGCCUUCUUGGACACGCCCCCAGGAGGCACCUGGUCCCGGCUGCCCUGUCAGUAAAAGGAGGUGCCGGUUCUCACUGCUGGAAGAUCUGUCACCAGACUUGUCAGGGGGUGCCAAUUCCUGCUUCCCACAGGACAGAGGCCCAUGGCUUGUCUGGGCAUGUCGGGACGUAUUUUGAGAGAGUGUUAACACGUUAUGGCUGUGUUCAGAAGUGGUCUCGACGCUGAAAUUCUGGAAGAGGAGCGCGAGACCUCACACCUGUGUGUGUGUGUGUGUGUGUGUGUGUGAGCGAGUCCUUCUCACAAGGCGGAGUUCUCUGGUUGUCUCGUUCACUGCUGUGUCCCCAGCAGCAGGCGCAUACGGACGCCCAGUCAAGAAGGCUGGCAGAGGUAAAUGGAGAGGACACAGCUUUGCUGGACAUUUGCUGUUGCUCCCACCCACCCCUCCAUCCACUCCGGGGAAAUCUCAAACCACGGAGCAGAACCCGCCUGUGGGAGUCAGGAAGCUGCAUCUUAGCGAUAAUUCCCCAGGGGUGUGAGGGAACGUUCUAGAAGGACUUCAGCAGGACCAGGCCCAUGAGUUUGGAGAGGCCCCAGUGACUGAUGCUCCAAAGCUGAACAAGAACAGGGUGUGUCGUUGGGGCGUGGAGUGUGGUGGACGGCUGGGUGGUGGCGGGGGAGCUCUCCCUCCGGCCUGCCUCUUCCUCGUCCCUGUGGCUCCCCAGCUGCUGCCCUGGGCCUUGUGGGACCUUGGGCUCCUCUGCAGUGCGGCGCAGGCAUGCAGGCCUUGUUUUGGGCCUCAAAGGAGCAUCGAGGGGAGGCCCUGGGCAUCUGGGAAUCAGCAGUGGAAUAAGUGAUAGAACCUAUCUCACUGAGUUGGUGUGAAGAUUGAAUGGGACAACGCUUGUGAAAGUGUUUAACACAGUGCCUGUUUUUACUUUUGGCCGAGUCACUGAACUCGGAACAGAUCCUGGCUCUGCCUAAUGCUAUCUGGGUGACCAGGGGCUGGUCACUUCACCUCUCUGAACUUCACCAUCUCACUGACCUUCAGGAGUUUUGAGGACAAAGCCAGAUGAACAAACUGCGGUGCACAGAGGAGUCAGGACUUGCCCAGAAUCAUGAAGCAGAUAGUGACACAGAUGGGACUCAAGUCCAGUGCUUCCUCAGCGGACAUUCUGGAGAAUGGAGACACUCCCGUCCUUCCUGGUGCCUGCAGGCACCACACCACUUACCACUUACCACUUCUGGCGACGGCUGCAGAACAACUUCUCCCUUCCCGAGCUACAGUGCUUCAUCUCAGACUCCCAACUGACCAGAGAUGCAGCACUGCACCUCAGGCUGGGAGACAGGACGCCAUACCACUCUGCACCAGGGGCCGAAGGCAGGGAGUCCACCCUAGGCAGGAGAAGGGGCAUUAGAGGGGCCUCGGCUCCUCCCUCCAGCUCCUGCUCUGGAGGCUGCUGCAGCUACCCUGGGUGUGCUUCCUGUCCUCAGCCUGGCAUUUGAGCCCUCUGGGACCAAGCUUCACCCUUCCUUUUCUUUUUAAACAGUUUCAUUGAGAUAUAAUCCUCCUAUUCAAAUUACACAAUGAAAUGGUUUUUUAGUUCAGUCACAGAGUGGUGAGUUGGGUUUCCCUGAUGGCUUAGUGGGAAAGAAUCUGCCUGCAGUGCAGGAGAUGCAGGAGAUGAAGGUUUCAUCCCUGGGUUGGGAAGAUCCACCAGAGGAAGAAAUGGCAAACCACUCCGGUAUUCUUGCCUGGAAAAUUCCAUGGAUGGAAGAGAGCCUGGCAGGCUACAGUCCAUGGGGUCACAAAGAGUUGGACACGACUGAGCGUGAAUCCAACAACACAGAGUGUCACAAGCAUCACUACAGUUGUAGAACAUUUCAUCAUCCCAAAGAAUCCUCUACCGCCCCACCACCCCUCACCCUGGGUGAUAGUCUACCUUUUUGACUCCAUACCUCAUCUUUAUGCUUGGUGUAUCCCAGCCAAAUGGCACAUUCAUGGUACUUUAUAUUUUAUAUCAUCAAACAUUUGCUUCAACCUCCCACCUGGCUUCCCUUGCUUCUGCUCCCGCCAACUUCCCACCCAUCCUUCCCAGCCAUCCUCUCAGAAUGAUUUCUCAAAAUGCAAAUGUGCCCAUAUUUCUCCUGGGUUUAAAAUGGUGAAAGGUCUCCUUCUGGCUGAAUUCUAAAGCCCUUACAAAAGGCUAUAGGCCUGCGCUAUCUAGCCCAGCUGGGCUGUCCCUCUUGGGCCCCUGCCCUCUUUUUCCACUCCUCCAGGGAGUCCUGUGCCCACCACCUUGGGGUUCCCAGGAACCGUGUUACUCCCUCUCACUCCCCUGCCCAUCUCUUCUUGGUAGGAUGAGUCUCUACUUAAAUGGCCACUUUUCCUGUGAAGCCCUCUUUGACUUUUUCAGACAUCAGAAUUCCCUGGUCCACAUCCUUUGCCCUCUUUCCUUCUUUUUUAAAAGUUUAGUUAUUUGAUUGCAUUAGGUCUUAGUUUCGGCACGUGCAGUCUUCAUGCGGUACGUGGUUGUGGCAUGAGAGCUCAGCUGUUUGGUGGCAUGUGGGAUCUUAGUUCCCUGAGCAGGAAUUGAACCUGAGUGCCCUGCUUUGCAGGGCAGAUUCUCCACUACUGAACCACCAGGGAAGUCUUCUCUGCCCUCUUUCUCAUCCUUUAUUGCACUUGUGAUGGUAGAUGCUUAAUAUGUGUUGUCCGAGUGAAUGAAUCAUAUUCUUCAGCCACAUUCUCUCCAGUGUCAGAGCUCUUUGCCUCUGGGUCUGACUGGGGUAGAAGUCCAGUUCCCUGAGGACAGCACCCAUGUGUGUUUGUGGUGGGGAUCCCUGGGCCUUGUGAAGCCCUUUGUACAUAGUGAGGGACCCCAGGGAGUGCUGCUGGUAGAUGACUGAAUGGCCAUGUAGAUCAUUCAUUUUCCUCUUAAGACCUGCUUAGGUGGGAACCUCUGAGUGAGCAGGCAGAGCCCUGUACCCCCUUCUCCUGUCCCGCCAAGAUCUCAGGGCAGCCCUCCUACACUGCUGAUACCACUGUGAUGGCCUCAAUGCUGGAUGACAUGUACUUUCAGGGAUGUCUAAAGGGCGGAGGGGGCCGGCAGCCUUUUCUC
Molecule: long non-coding RNA, 4017 nt
Organism: Bos taurus (domestic cattle)
Lineage: Eukaryota; Metazoa; Chordata; Mammalia; Artiodactyla; Bovidae
Source: Ensembl